This 74-nucleotide transfer RNA is filed under the name Apiotrichum gamsii. Its description in RNAcentral is "tRNA-Arg". It matches the Rfam family "tRNA". From Rfam's summary of the family: Transfer RNA (tRNA) molecules are approximately 80 nucleotides in length. Lineage: Eukaryota; Fungi; Basidiomycota; Tremellomycetes; Trichosporonales; Trichosporonaceae. The record is from RNAcentral.
GGGAGUAUAGUAUAACUGGUAAUUAUUUAUGACUUCUAAUCAUCAAGAUACCAGUUCGAAUCUGGUUACUUCCA